AACGCACGAGACCUGCGGACCUGCGGAGGGAUCAUUAUUGAAUAUCUUGCCUUGAUAGGUUGUAGCUGGCCUCUUGAGGCAUGUGCACACCUGUCUUGACUCUAUUCAUCCACCUGUGCAUCUAUUGUAGUCCUUUGUUCUUUGUAGGUUAAGGAAAGCAGGCCUUUAUUCAGUUGAAACAUACUGGUCUUGAGGAUUGCCUCUGGCUAUCUUCUUCUCUGGCUCUGUGGACUUGUGCUU
RNAcentral lists this unclassified non-coding RNA (240 nucleotides) under soil metagenome. RNAcentral's name for it is "partial contains 5.8S ribosomal RNA, internal transcribed spacer 2, and large subunit ribosomal RNA". The record is from RNAcentral.